GUGCUCACUUCGGCAGCACAUAUACUAAAACUGGAACGAUACAGAGAAGAUUAGUGCAAGGAUGACACGCAUAUUCAUGAAGCAUUGCACAAUAAA
This is a small nuclear RNA of Callithrix jacchus (white-tufted-ear marmoset), 96 nucleotides long. NCBI's taxonomy places the organism in Eukaryota, Metazoa, Chordata, Mammalia, Primates, Cebidae. The record is from Ensembl.